RNAcentral lists this ribosomal RNA (468 nucleotides) under uncultured bacterium. Its description in RNAcentral is "partial 16S ribosomal RNA". It matches the Rfam family "Bacterial small subunit ribosomal RNA", at positions 29 to 507 of the family's 1533-position model. The record is from RNAcentral.
AUGAACGCUGGCGGCGUGCUUAACACAUGCAAGUCGAACGGUGAAGCUCCAGCUUGCUGGAGUGGAUCAGUGGCGAACGGGUGAGUAACACGUGAGCAACCUGCCCCUGACUCUGGGAUAACAGCCGGAAACGGCUGCUAAUACCGGAUAUGCACCAUGAACGCAUGUUCUGUGGUGGGAAAGAUUUUUCGGUUGGGGAUGGGCUCGCGGCCUAUCAGCUUGUUGGUGAGGUAAUGGCUCACCAAGGCGUCGACGGGUAGCCGGCCUGAGAGGGUGACCGGCCACACUGGGACUGAGACACGGCCCAGACUCCUACGGGAGGCAGCAGUGGGGAAUAUUGCACAAUGGGCGAAAGCCUGAUGCAGCAACGCCGCGUGAGGGAUGACGGCCUUCGGGUUGUAAACCUCUUUUAGCAGGGAAGAAGCGAGAGUGACGGUACCUGCAGAAAAAGCGCCGGCUAACUACGUG